RNAcentral lists this non-coding RNA (48 nucleotides) under Trypanosoma lewisi. Lineage: Eukaryota; Euglenozoa; Kinetoplastea; Trypanosomatida; Trypanosomatidae. The record is from RNAcentral.
AUUUAUAUUUAUCAACAAAUUAAAUAGAUCUGGGAGGUGUCGAUGAAG